CAGAGGUCAGCAGUCAGAGCUCCUCCACAAAUCAAGGACUCAACCAGGCAGAGAGUCAAGUUUACAGCUCUCUGCUUUAUGGUGAUACUUCUGAGUAUGAAACAAUCCAGCCAGCCUCUAACAAUAGUGAUACUUCCGAUUAUGAAACAAUCCAGCCAACCUCUAACUAUAAAUCCAUUGAAUGCUAAAAGAGUCACUAUAGUGAGAAGAAAACAACAAGG
Poecilia latipinna (sailfin molly) is the source of this 221-nucleotide long non-coding RNA. RefSeq lists it as uncharacterized. The transcript has 4 exons. Lineage: Eukaryota; Metazoa; Chordata; Actinopteri; Cyprinodontiformes; Poeciliidae. The record is from RefSeq and is a predicted model, not a curated record.